GAUCAUGGCUCAGGACGAACGCUGGCGGCGUGCUUAACACAUGCAAGUCGAACGGAGUGCUCAUGACAGAGGUUUCGGCCAAUGGAUUGAGUUACUUAGUGGCGGACUGGUGAGUAACGCGUGAGGAACCUGCCUUUCAGAGGGGGACAACAGUUGGAAACGACUGCUAAUACCGCAUGACACAUUGGAGGGGCAUCCCUUUGAUGUCAAAGAUUUUAUCGCUGAAAGAUGG
Molecule: ribosomal RNA, 232 nt
Filed under: uncultured bacterium
Lineage: Bacteria
Description: partial 16S ribosomal RNA
Rfam family: Bacterial small subunit ribosomal RNA
Source: RNAcentral